This 426-nucleotide ribosomal RNA is filed under the name Anolis cristatellus. RNAcentral's name for it is "partial 16S ribosomal RNA". It matches the Rfam family "Bacterial large subunit ribosomal RNA", at positions 1970 to 2594 of the family's 2925-position model. Lineage: Eukaryota; Metazoa; Chordata; Lepidosauria; Squamata; Anolidae. The record is from RNAcentral.
UGUCUUCUAAAUAAAGNCCCGUAUGAAUGGCUAAAUGAAUAUUUUACUGUCUCCUUUAACCAAUCAGUGAAACUGAUCUGCCAGUACAAAAGCUGGCAUUACAAUAUAAGACGAGAAGACCCUGUGGAGCUUUAAAUUUUAGACAAGUACUUUUAUUAUACACACUUAUGUUAACAAAUUUUAAGUUGGGGCGACUUCGGAGAAAAACACAACCUCCGAGAGACAAGGCAACGCCUAAACAAGGCCAACAGGCCUAAACUAAAAGACCCAGUAUUACUGACCAACGAACCAAGUUACCCCAGGGAUAACAGCGCCAUCUUCUUCAAGAGUUCAUAUCGACAAGAAGGUUUACGACCUCGAUGUUGGAUCAGGACACCCAAAUGGUGCAGCCGCUAUUAAAGGUUCGUUUGUUCAACAGUUAACAGU